Molecule: ribosomal RNA, 630 nt
Filed under: Anthopleura handi
Lineage: Eukaryota; Metazoa; Cnidaria; Anthozoa; Actiniaria; Actiniidae
Description: eukaryotic LSU rRNA
Rfam family: 5.8S ribosomal RNA (bases 209-362)
Source: RNAcentral
ACCUGCGGAAGGAUCAUUACCGAUCGAAGUUCUCCACCAAGAACUCACCGCGAACCGUCUGGAAAGUUGGGGGUCGCCGGCCGCCACAGCCGGCGACAAACGGUGGGAUUCACGCGUCCACCGGCCCCCACGUUUUUCAUCCCAUUUUGCACACUUUCCAUGCAGAAACAACACAGAGCGUCGCUCUGGAACCAAACUUGUAGUACAUAACUUUUAACGGUGGAUCUCUUGGCUCGUGCAUCGAUGAAGAACGCAGCCAGCUGCGAUAAGUAGUGUGAAUUGCAGAAUUCAGUGAAUCAUCGAAUCUUUGAACGCAAAUGGCGCUCUUGGGUUUUCCCAGGAGCACGUCUGUCUGAGUGUCGGUUUCCAAAUACCUCGCAUGCCCUGCGCGUGCGGACUUGAGGCGUCGCGGCCUUCCAUCUCGGUGGGCCUCGUCCCUUGAAAUGCAGCACGACCCACGUGGGCGGCUCGCGUCGACGCCACUUCGGGGAGGCCAAAAGCGUUGUUUGCCCUUUCCCGAGGCGUCGCCGGAUGUCCCCCGUGCGGCCAGGCUUCGGCUCAGCACUCCAUUCUUGACCUCAGAUCAGGCGAGAUUACCCGCUGAAUUUAAGCAUAUUAAUAAGCGGAGGA